Molecule: long non-coding RNA, 324 nt
Organism: Manis pentadactyla (Chinese pangolin)
Lineage: Eukaryota; Metazoa; Chordata; Mammalia; Pholidota; Manidae
Exons: 3
Source: RefSeq, a predicted model, not a curated record
GCCUCAGGAAAAAAUUCACAGGGCUCACAAGAGUAAUGACAAGACAGCUGAUGACUGAAAGAUUUUUCCAAGUAUAAAAGGGAGAAAAAGGUUGACAUAUUCACUUACCUGAUCAUUAAGUAAAAGAAGAGCUUCCUCUUCUGAUUCAUGAAGUUUCUGGGGUGGCCUUAAAGCUUUCAAGCAUUUUUUCAGAUUAGAAGUAGAUACCUGACUAGAACGCCCUUCUUGUCUUCUCCCUCUGGUGAAAUACUACCUAUCCUCCCGAGCCCACAUAGAAUACUGUCUCUUCUGUGAACCCUCUAGAUAGAAUUAAUUGCUGCCCCA